This is a long non-coding RNA of Marmota flaviventris (yellow-bellied marmot), 969 nucleotides long. RefSeq lists it as uncharacterized. The record is from RefSeq and is a predicted model, not a curated record. NCBI's taxonomy places the organism in Eukaryota, Metazoa, Chordata, Mammalia, Rodentia, Sciuridae.
ACCCCUGUGGGAGCUGGGGACCAAGGUGUGGCACUGCGAAGAGUCCUUGGCGAGGGGCCACAGGGUCAGGAGACUAUGAUGAACUGAAGCCAGGUGUGGUGGCACACGCCUUUGAUCCCAGCACUUGAGAGCCUGAGACAGGAAGAUCACGAGUUUGAAGCCAGCCAACAGCCUGGCCCAGGGCCACUGCAGAUGGUGCUAAGCCUAGUGGGCAGCCAGCCUUCAUGUGCUCCCAUGCUUUCCUUCUGACCACUCCUCCCACUGUCAGUUAUUUCCAGGAAGAGCCCAGCCAUGGUGGCCAAGUCUCAGCCCAGUUCCCCUGGAGUGACCCUGAGUGUUUUAGUCCUGAGAAACGCGACAGUCCUUUACCAACUCCCCUCCUGCCCCUAUCCCUCCAAGUACAAGUCCACAGUGACACCAUGUGCUGCUGCUCAGAUUUUCAAGUCAAGACAAAGUGUCAUCAGUUAACUUCAAAGGAAAAAUCUUUUGGAAAAGAAUUUCAAGCAAUGACUCAGAAAGUUUCCCUAAGAGGCAAUCCAGAGGCAUCUAAGUCUCAACAAGCUUUUAGGACCGAGGCAGGAGCAGAACAUUCAUGGAAAAAAAAAUCAUAGGAAUGGACAGAAGGAAGUUCUUUUCACAAAAGAAAGGUUCCAGGCAAAUGGCCAGCACCCCUGAAAACCAACACAGCAGGGAAAGACCAGAAAUAUAACAAAUUGGAAUGUGUGUUUCUGGGUACAGAGGCAUCAGAGGGAUGGGCCACGACAAAACACUGGUGGAUAGAGGGUAGGUAGCCAAGGUGUUCCGUGGGAACCAGGCCUGAGUGGUCAGGUAGCAGGUCCCAAUGGGUCAAAGCCUAUGGAUAUCAUGUGUGUGGGAACUUUUUCAGCAAAAACUCACACCUUUUUUGACUUCAGAAAAUUCAUACUAGAGGGCUGGGGGUGUGGCUCAAGCUGUAGCGCGCUCGCCUGG